AGCGCGACCGGAUCCACCGCCCGGGUGACGGUGAGGUAGUCCCGGAUGGCGGUGCCGUGCCGGCCCUC
Molecule: small RNA, 68 nt
Filed under: Micromonospora sp. Llam0
Lineage: Bacteria; Bacillati; Actinomycetota; Actinomycetes; Micromonosporales; Micromonosporaceae
Description: ASdes TB sRNA
Rfam family: ASdes TB sRNA
Source: Rfam by way of RNAcentral